Molecule: ribosomal RNA, 490 nt
Filed under: uncultured bacterium
Lineage: Bacteria
Description: partial 16S ribosomal RNA
Rfam family: Bacterial small subunit ribosomal RNA
Source: RNAcentral
AGUGAACGCUGGCGGUAGGCCUAACACAUGCAAGUCGAACGGCAGCACAGGAGAGCUUGCUCUCUGGGUGGCGAGUGGCGGACGGGUGAGGAAUGCAUCGGAAUCUACUCUUUCGUGGGGGAUAACGUAGGGAAACUUACGCUAAUACCGCAUACGACCUACGGGUGAAAGCCGGGGACCUUCGGGCCUGGCGCGAAUGAAUGAGCCGAUGCCCGAUUAGCUAGUUGGCGGGGUAAGAGCCCACCAAGGCGACGAUCGGUAGCUGGUCCGAGAGGAUGAUCAGCCACACUGGAACUGAGACACGGUCCAGACUCCUACGGGAGGCAGCAGUGGGGAAUAUUGGACAAUGGGCGCAAGCCUGAUCCAGCCAUACCGCGUGGGUGAAGAAGGCCUUCGGGUUGUAAAGCCCUUUUGUUGGGAAAGAAAAGCAGCUGGUUAAUACCCGGUUGUUCUGACGGUACCCAAAGAAUAAGCACCGGCUAACUUCGUG